Molecule: ribosomal RNA, 465 nt
Filed under: uncultured bacterium
Lineage: Bacteria
Description: partial 16S ribosomal RNA
Rfam family: Bacterial small subunit ribosomal RNA
Source: RNAcentral
CUACGGGCUGCUCCAGUGGGGAAUAUUGGACAAUGGGGGAAACCCUGAUCCAGCAAUGCCGCAUGUGUGAAGAAGGCCUGCGGGUUGUAAAGCACUUUCGGUUGGGAGGACUGCUUCUAGCACUAAUAUUGUUGGAAGUUGACGUUACCUUCAGAAGAAGCACCGGCUAACUCCGUGCCAGCAGCCGCGGUAAUACGGAGGGUGCAAGCGUUAAUCGGAAUUACUGGGCGUAAAGCGCGCGUAGGCGGCUAGAUCAGUCGGGUGUGAAAGCCCCGGGCUUAACCUGGGAACUGCAUCCGAUACUGUCUAGCUUGAGUACAGGGGAGGAGAGUGGAAUUCCACAUGUAGCGGUGAAAUGCGUAGAUAUGUGGAGGAACACCAAUGGCGAAGGCAGCUCUCUGGCCUGAUACUGACGCUGAGAUGCGAAAGCGUGGGGAGCAAACAGGAUUAGAUACCCGGGUAGUC